UACGUAGGAGGCGGGCGUUGUCCGGAAUCACUGGGUGUAAAGCGCGUGUAGGCGGCCUGCCAAGUCUGCUGUGAAAGCGCCUGGCUUAACCGGGCGAGGUCGGUGGAAACUGGCGGGCUGGAGGACGGUAGAGGGGGGUGGAAUUCCCGGUGUAGUGGUGAAAUGCGUAGAGAUCGGGAGGAACACCAGUGGCGAAGGCGGCCCCCUGGGCCGUUCCUGACGCUGAGACGCGAAGGCGCGGGGAGCGAACGGG
RNAcentral lists this ribosomal RNA (253 nucleotides) under uncultured bacterium. RNAcentral's name for it is "partial 16S ribosomal RNA". It matches the Rfam family "Bacterial small subunit ribosomal RNA", at positions 524 to 776 of the family's 1533-position model. The record is from RNAcentral.